This 250-nucleotide ribosomal RNA is filed under the name uncultured bacterium. Its description in RNAcentral is "partial 16S ribosomal RNA". It matches the Rfam family "Bacterial small subunit ribosomal RNA", at positions 524 to 776 of the family's 1533-position model. The record is from RNAcentral.
UACGUAGGGGGCAAGCGUUAUCCGGAAUCACUGGGCGUAAAGGGUGCGUAGGCGGCCUGACAAGUCAGAGGUGAAAGGCUACGGCUUAACCGUAGUAAGCCUUUGAAACUGUUGGGCUAGAGUGCAGGAGAGGUAAGUGGAAUUCCUAGUGUAGCGGUGAAAUGCGUAGAUAUUAGGAGGAACACCAGUGGCGAAGGCGACUUACUGGACAGAUACUGACGCUGAGGCGCGAAAGCGUGGGGAGAACAGG